This 275-nucleotide long non-coding RNA is filed under the name Parus major (Great Tit). Its description in RNAcentral is "lncRNA (ENSPMJG00000009415.1)". The record is from RNAcentral. Lineage: Eukaryota; Metazoa; Chordata; Aves; Passeriformes; Paridae.
GUGAAACACUUCUUUGGGCCUCAUAAACAACCACAGAACCACAAGUUGGGUACAGAGGCAGUCACCCAAGAGCGGGUCCGGGAUAUUGGUCAGCAGGGAGGGCGAAUCGUUGUGCCUGCAAACCACAGGGUUUCGGAGGGUGGUGGAAGAACCCCUAAAUUCCCUCCCAGUGAAGAGAGAGUGAGUUUUAAAGAGGAAAGGAUGGCUUCAAACAGCAUAUUUGAGUCACUUCCUUCUUACCAGCACUUCUUGAGAGGGUUGGUUCCAGUUUCCAA